UACGUAGGGGGCAAGCGUUGUCCGGAAUUAUUGGGCGUAAAGCGCGUGUAGGCGGCCAGAAAAGUCCGCUGUGAAAACUCGAGGCUCAACUUCGAGCUGUCGGUGGAAACUUUCUGGCUAGAGUCCGGGAGAGGUCAGUGGAAUUCCCAGUGUAGCGGUGAAAUGCGUAGAUAUUGGGAGGACCACCAGUGGCGAAGGCGGCUGACUGGACGGGUACUGACGCGGAGGCGCGAAAGCGUGGGAGCAAACGGG
Molecule: ribosomal RNA, 252 nt
Filed under: uncultured bacterium
Lineage: Bacteria
Description: partial 16S ribosomal RNA
Rfam family: Bacterial small subunit ribosomal RNA
Source: RNAcentral